Molecule: ribosomal RNA, 254 nt
Filed under: uncultured bacterium
Lineage: Bacteria
Description: partial 16S ribosomal RNA
Rfam family: Bacterial small subunit ribosomal RNA
Source: RNAcentral
UACGAAGGGGGCUAGCGUUGCUCGGAAUUACUGGGCGUAAAGGGCUCGUAGGCGGCCAACUAAGUCAGACGUGAAAUCCCUCGGCUUAACCGGGGAACUGCGUCUGAUACUGGAUGGCUAGAGUUUGGGAGAGGGAUGCGGAACUCCAGGUGUAGGCGGUGAAAUGCGUAGAUAUCUGGAGGAACACCGGUGGCGAAGGCGGCAUCCUGGACCAACACUGACGCUGAGGAGCGAAAGCCAGGGGAGCAAACGGG